GUGUUCACUUUGGCAGCCCACAUACUGAACUGUAACAAUGCAGAGAUUAUUAGCAUGGUUGCUACAUAAAUAUGAUACACAAAUUCUGGAAGCAUUCCUUAUUUUG
Sciurus carolinensis (gray squirrel) is the source of this 106-nucleotide small nuclear RNA. The record is from RefSeq and is a predicted model, not a curated record. NCBI's taxonomy places the organism in Eukaryota, Metazoa, Chordata, Mammalia, Rodentia, Sciuridae.